GACGAAGAAGCUGUACUAUUCCCAAACUGGGAAACUGGAAUCACCUGAUUUGAAAGUGGGAUAACUUCUUCUUGCCAACUCCUAUGAGAUUUAUUCAACUUCCUGGUGAUUGUCCACCACUUUAUGUAUCCAAUUAAAGCUUCUCACAAAGUGAUUCAUCCUGGUUUGAUUGGAACGACGAAGAUGCUUUCCUAUUCCCAAACUGGGAAACUGGAAUCACCUGAUUAGAAAGUGCGAUAACUUCUUCAUCCCAACUCCUAUGAGAUUUAUUCAACUUCCUGGUGAUUCUCCACCACUUUAUGUAUCCAAAUC
This 312-nucleotide long non-coding RNA is filed under the name Brassica rapa (field mustard). RNAcentral's name for it is "long non-coding RNA (BRAP_LNC008035)". The record is from RNAcentral. Lineage: Eukaryota; Viridiplantae; Streptophyta; Magnoliopsida; Brassicales; Brassicaceae.